UCAAGCUUGCUUUGGUUUGGUGAGAGUGGCGCACGGGUGCGUAACGCGUGAGCAACCUACCCUUGUCAGGGGGAUAGCCCGGCGAAAGUCGGAUUAAUACCGCAUGACAUCAUUGAGAGGCAUCUUUCGAUGAUCAAAGAUUUAUCGGACAAGGAUGGGCUCGCGUGACAUUAGCUAGUUGGUAAGGUAACGGCUUACCAAGGCUACCAUGUCUAGGGGCUCUGAAAGGAGAAUCCCCCACACUGGUACUGAGACACGGACCAGACUCCUACGGGAGGCAGCAGUAAGGAAUAUUGGUCAAUGGACGGAAGUCUGAACCAGCCAUGCCGCGUGCAGGAAGACUGCCCUAUGGGUUGUAAACUGCUUUUAUACGGGAACAAACGUCGGUACGUGUACCGGUCUGAGUGUACCGUAAGAAUAAGGAUCGGCUAACUCCGUGCCAGCAGCCGCGGUAAUACGGAGGAUCCGAGCGUUAUCCGGAAUUAUUGGGUUUAAAGGGUGCGUAGGCGGCCGGAUAAGUCAGGGGUGAAAGUCGGCAGCUCAACUGUCGCAGUGCCUUUGAUACUGUUUGGCUUGAAUUCGGUUGAAGAUGGCGGAUGAGACAAGUAGCGGUGAAUGCAUA
Molecule: ribosomal RNA, 622 nt
Filed under: uncultured bacterium
Lineage: Bacteria
Description: bacterial SSU rRNA
Rfam family: Bacterial small subunit ribosomal RNA
Source: RNAcentral